UACGUAGGGUGCGAGCGUUGUCCGGAAUUACUGGGCGUAAAGAGCUCGUAGGUGGUUUGUCGCGUUGUUCGUGAAAACUCACAACUCAAUUGUGGGCGUGCGGGCGAUACGGGCAGACUGGAGUACUGCAGGGGAGACUGGAAUUCCUGGUGUAGCGGUGGAAUGCGCAGAUAUCAGGAGGAACACCGGUGGCGAAGGCGGCUUCCUGGACACUUACUGACGCUGAGACGCGAAAGCGUGGGGAGCAAACGGG
Molecule: ribosomal RNA, 253 nt
Filed under: uncultured bacterium
Lineage: Bacteria
Description: partial 16S ribosomal RNA
Rfam family: Bacterial small subunit ribosomal RNA
Source: RNAcentral